RNAcentral lists this ribosomal RNA (429 nucleotides) under uncultured bacterium. RNAcentral describes it as "bacterial SSU rRNA". It matches the Rfam family "Bacterial small subunit ribosomal RNA", at positions 960 to 1391 of the family's 1533-position model. The record is from RNAcentral.
CGCGAAGAACCUUACCUAGACUUGACAUCUCCUGCAUUACCCUUAAUCGGGGAAGUUCCUUCGGGRACAGGAAGACAGGUGGUGCAUGGUUGUCGUCAGCUCGUGUCGUGAGAUGUUGGGUUAAGUCCCGCAACGAGCGCAACCCUUAUUGUUAGUUGCUACCAUUUAGUUGAGCACUCUAGCGAGACUGCCCGGGUUAACCGGGAGGAAGGUGGGGAUGACGUCAAAUCAUCAUGCCCCUUAUGUCUAGGGCUACACACGUGCUACAAUGGCAAGUACAAAGAGAAGCAAGACCGCGAGGUGGAGCAAAACUCAAAAACUUGUCUCAGUUCGGAUUGUAGGCUGAAACUCGCCUACAUGAAGCUGGAGUUGCUAGUAAUCGCGAAUCAGCAUGUCGCGGUGAAUACGUUCCCGGGUCUUGUACACACC